RNAcentral lists this ribosomal RNA (496 nucleotides) under uncultured bacterium. RNAcentral's name for it is "partial 16S ribosomal RNA". It matches the Rfam family "Bacterial small subunit ribosomal RNA", at positions 29 to 507 of the family's 1533-position model. The record is from RNAcentral.
AUGAACGCUGGCGGCGUGCCUAAUACAUGCAAGUCGAGCGCACGGACGAGAAGCUUGCUUCUCUGAUGUUAGCGGCGGACGGGUGAGUAACACGUGGAUAACCUACCUAUAAGACUGGGAUAACUUCGGGAAACCGUAGCUAAUACCGGAUAAUAUUUUGAACCGCAUGGUUCAAAAGUGAAAGACGGUCUUGCUGUCACUUAUAGAUGGAUCCGCGCUGCAUUAGCUAGUUGGUAAGGUAACGGCUUACCAAGGCAACGAUGCAUAGCCGACCUGAGAGGGUGAUCGGCCACACUGGAACUGAGACACGGUCCAGACUCCUACGGGAGGCAGCAGUAGGGAAUCUUCCGCAAUGGGCGAAAACCUGACGGAGCAACGUCGCGUGAGUGAUGAAGGUCUUCGGAUCGUAAAACUCUGUUAUUAGGGAAGAACAUAUGUGUAAGUAACUGUGCACAUCUUGACGGUACCUAAUCAGAAAGCCACGGCUAACUACGUG